RNAcentral lists this transfer RNA (69 nucleotides) under Marmota marmota marmota (Alpine marmot). It matches the Rfam family "tRNA". From Rfam's summary of the family: Transfer RNA (tRNA) molecules are approximately 80 nucleotides in length. Their secondary structure includes four short double-helical elements and three loops (D, anti-codon, and T loops). The record is from Rfam by way of RNAcentral. RNAcentral also lists the same sequence under 2 other names. Lineage: Eukaryota; Metazoa; Chordata; Mammalia; Rodentia; Sciuridae.
GGGGUUGUAGCUCAGUGGUAGAGUGCUUGCCUAGCAUGUAUGAGGCACUGGGUUUGAUUCUCAGCACCA